Molecule: ribosomal RNA, 499 nt
Filed under: uncultured bacterium
Lineage: Bacteria
Description: bacterial SSU rRNA
Rfam family: Bacterial small subunit ribosomal RNA
Source: RNAcentral
AUUGAACGCUGGCGGAAUGCUUUACACAUGCAAGUCGAACGGCAGCACGGGGCAACCUGGUGGCGAGUGGCGAACGGGUGAGUAAUACAUCGGAACGUGCCCAAUCGUGGGGGAUAACGUAGCGAAAGUUACGCUAAUACCGCAUACGAUCUACGGAUGAAAGCGGGGGAUCGCAAGACCUCGCGCGAGUGGAGCGGCCGAUGUCAGAUUAGGUAGUUGGUGGGGUAAAGGCUCACCAAGCCAACGAUCUGUAGCUGGUCUGAGAGGACGACCAGCCACACUGGAACUGAGACACGGUCCAGACUCCUACGGGAGGCAGCAGUGGGGAAUUUUGGACAAUGGGCGCAAGCCUGAUCCAGCCAUUCCGCGUGCAGGAUGAAGGCCUUCGGUUGUAAACUGCUUUGUACGGAACGAAACGGCUCUCUCUAAUACAGGGGCUAAUGACGGUACCGUAAGAAUAAGCACCGGCUAACUACGUGCCAGCAGCCGCGGUAAAGUA